Molecule: long non-coding RNA, 1856 nt
Organism: Pan troglodytes (chimpanzee)
Lineage: Eukaryota; Metazoa; Chordata; Mammalia; Primates; Hominidae
Exons: 3
Source: RefSeq, a predicted model, not a curated record
CGCCGGCCCUGUAGGACCCAGGGGGAUCCACAGCCCAGUUCCCAUUGAUGAUGGACCGGCCCCCAGGGCCACGAAGUGCUGCGGGUCAGAGACUCCACAGCCAUCAGGACGCCUGCCAGAGCCAAGGAUCCCAUCACAGCCGGGGCUCUGGAGAGAGUGAGGUGAGGCAGCGGCCACAGAACGCCAGACACCACCUCAACCCCACCCCGGUCCCCUCGGGAGCCUCAGCUCACUACCCUGCUUUUUGUGCCACAAGUGAGAGCACAAAAACAGCCCCACCAUCCCCAGCCAGACCCAGGGACACGGACAGGCGCCCAAUCAGAUCCUUCAGGCUCUGCUCAGCGCAGCUUGGCAGACAGCGUCCAGCCACACAGAUGUCAGGGGCUCCAGGCUGACACAGGGUCCCAUCCUGGACCUUUUCGGUGUGACGGACAUAGAAGCGGAAGCCACGGGGCCGGCAGUUCAGUUCACAGCGCUGGGAGCCCUGGACUAAGGGACAGGGUAGAAGGGUGGUUAGUGGGCUCCCUGGUGGGAGGUUAGCUGAGAGAGGCCCCAGAGGGGGCACCUUGAGGUUGCCCAGGUCACUGUGGAUGAAGGAAAUGUGACAACAGCAUAAGCUGAGGUGGUCAGGGCCGGGCGCAGUGGCUCAUGCCUGUAAUCCCAGCACUCUGGGAGGCCGAGGUGGGUGCAUCAUUAGGUCAGGAGUUCAAGACCAGCCUGGCCAACAUGGUGAAACCCCGUCUCCACUACAGAUACAAAAAUUAACCAGGCGUGGUGGCACAUGCCUGUAGUCCCAGCUACUCGGGAGGCUGAGGCAGGAGAAUCGCUUGAACCCAGGAAGCAGAGGUUGCAGUGAGCUGAGAUCGUGCCACUGUACUCCAGCCUGGGCGACAGAGUGAGACUCUGUCUCAGAAAAAAAAAAAAAAAAGGUGGUCAGGUCAGUUGAGGUCACCGAGACCAUCAAGGGGACUCAACUGAGAGAGGAGCAAUCCCUGAUGCCCAUGAUUCUGUGUGUUCAGAGCUCUUGAGUGCUUAUCCUGGUGUCAAGUUAACACAGGCCUAAAAUGAAGCGGAUGGUAACCUGGGAGCAACCGAUACGAUAGUGCCCAGGAUGCGUGGCACACCCCCACCUGGCUGUCACGGCUGGACAGGAUCUCUCCCACCAUGGCCCUCUUGUGUCACAGCCUCCUGACCCCCAGUGAUGGCCUUCCCAGGGGAGUCCGGACAAAGCGUGUCUCCCACACCUCCUCCUCCCACCCCGACCCUUCUGCAGACCACUCACCACCUGUGCUGUCUCCUGACCCAGCCCCAGGGAGAAGAAAGAAGGCAUGGCGCAGGGGAAGCAGAGGGGCUGGAAGUCAUUCAGGGCUGGGAGUAAGCAGGUAUCUCCUCUCCCCUUCAUCCCCAAUUCCAAGCCACCACUGCCCAGGGGUGAGCAAGAAACCUCACCUUCAGUGAAGGGCUCCCACUGAUACAGCUGGCCCAUGAAUUCCUGGGAGUUAAAGGCUGCGCACUGCAGGGCCCGGGGGUCUGGCUGCUCAGGGGGGCAGGGCUGCGGUGAGGGGUACAAAGGAGUCAGAGCUGGGGAGCAAAAUGAGGGUAGGGUCAGGGCUGAACCUGGGGAGCAGGUGGGAGGCUCAGGUCAGCGGAAGAGCUCCAAGACCCCUGCCCUGAGGUGGUCAGAUGCCUAGGCCCUUCUCCCUCAGCUGCCAAGCGGAAGCUGAGGACCCAGCUUCAGGGCAGGGAAGCCACACUGGAGGUCGGGGUUGGGAGAGGAGGCCCGAGGAGACUCACCGCUUGGCUGCAGGCUCUUAGCUGUUCACUCUCCCCAGAACAUCUUGGGAUAGGGCUACUGG